This is a long non-coding RNA of Astatotilapia calliptera (eastern happy), 2011 nucleotides long. The record is from Ensembl. NCBI's taxonomy places the organism in Eukaryota, Metazoa, Chordata, Actinopteri, Cichliformes, Cichlidae.
GGAAGAUGCUUUAACAUUAGAGUAACAGUUGUCAAAAUCGAAGCUAGUUAGGUUAUAAUGAACCUUCACAAAUUCUGUCAGGGUGUGAAUUUUGUGCAGUGGAUCGGCUGCAGUUGUCGUCAUGAGAUUUGAUAAUGCGCCACUGUAACUAUCAGUCUGAGACUCUGGCCCCUGACUGUGUUUCAUGUUGUUUUUGAAUGCUGUACAGUAGAAGUAAUUUAUAGACUGAAGGUGCACAUUUCUAUGACUUCCUGAAGGUUGAAUCAUGUUCACACUUCUGAAAACUGAGCAUGUUUUCUUUUCGCGAAAGGUUUUAAUUUGCACUAAUUUCCUUGGUAGAAAGUAGUUGAAAUGAAAAAGCAUUUAUAGGGGGGGGGUCUGCACAGCUAGGUUGUAAUUGAGAAUGUGAGUCUUUGUAAAUUGGAUGACUCUUUAAUGGAGGUGUCACGGAAAUGUACAGUUGGUCAUUUGUUAGCCCUGUAGCCUCAUUUUGACUGAAUAAUUACAUGUAUUGGUCCGCUGCUGACACCUAUUCAGUCUGCCCUUCUGGUCACUUUCACAUAAAUGCAGAAACUAACAGGAAGCACGGUAGCCUAAACCCUUGUUGUGUUUGCUCCUAUGCACUAAAACGGAAAUUCCUCUGAUCGAUAGACUUUUUUUGCUUGGCUCGUCAGUUUGAAGCCCUGCACUUGGAUUAAUGAAGUACAGUUUUACUGUGACAUUUUGUAUAGAGAUCAGUCAUCAAUAUCCUUACCUUGAGAAAUGCCCUUCACUUUCUGUUGAGAAAUACACACCUAGUGCCUUAGAUAUCUAGCAGAAAUGUGUUUAUCGUUUACCUGCGUAUGUAAUGACCUGAUGUGUCACCUCUGGGUUUUGAUUUUCAUUGCAUUCUGUAUUUUAGGAGGAAUUCGUAGUGCCAAAUUCACUCUUUCUGCCCUUUUGUGGCAGUGAAACGCAGUAUGUUUCCGAACCUAAAGGCAUUAAGAAACAAAAAAAAAAAACAAAGCUUGAAUACAUCUGGAUGUAAAAUGACUUGCAUCCUCUGUACUGUUCUGUCAGGGGUUUUGGUUUCUGUAUAGCCACUGUUUUUUUUUUGUUUUGUUUUUUUUAUUCAGAGAAAUGUAUAAUUACCUUCAGUCUCAAAUUGUCAAUGAAAAGCACCUUGCAGUCAUGUUGUUUGGUUUGGUUUUUCAGGGGGUUUUUCUUUUUUUUGUGGGUUGUUUUUUGUAUAUACAGAAAAUGUACAUUUCUUGAACGAGGGAAAAUAUUUAUGUCAUCAAAAGCAGUCAAACAUUAUUUUGUCAAUCUCUUUGAGAUACUUUAGUUCAAUAAAGCACCUUAGCACCUGUGAAUUCUUUUUCUUUCUUUUAUUCUCUGGAGGUUUUUGAGCUUCCUAUUACUCAGACUGCUCAGUCUCAGCCUCUUUGUUCAUCUAUAAAUGACAUCAUCUCUAGCGCCGUAACGCGUAAUGCUGCAUAACCUCCCCCCCCCCCCCCCCCCCCCCCCCUACACACACACACACACACACACACACACACACCUCAAAUCCAGUAUGCAUAUGUGGGACACCACAAAUGAUGUAAUUCCCUUUUUUUUUUUUUUCCUUCCCCUCCUUCACUUCAACUGAUCCUCAUUACACUUUAAUAACAAAGAUUUCUUUCGGAUGUUACCCUAUUACGUUUGCCAUCUGGUUAAAUACUGAUCAGUUGAUCUCCAGUGGUAUUCCUGUGGUCGGGGGAGACCCAGCACCUCAUGUGCUCGAGGUUCCCUCAUUAAUAGUCCUAGUUUGCUUUGUUUCAGGACAGAAAGGCCCUGCGCUCCCCUGCAGCACCUCUCCUUUGUAAAUCCACCACCUUCCCACCCCCAUGUCUUUCUCCCACUGUCUACCAGCUGGUAAAAUUAAACGCUGAGUGUUUCUGACUGGCCCAAAGUCCCUGCUCUCCAGCCCGUUGACUGUCCCCAUGGCAACAAGCUCAUCUGGAGCUGCUGAUGGAGGCUGUCGUCCUACGAG